RNAcentral lists this ribosomal RNA (542 nucleotides) under Trigonopterus sp. 1099 AR-2022a. Its description in RNAcentral is "partial large subunit ribosomal RNA". It matches the Rfam family "Bacterial large subunit ribosomal RNA", at positions 1824 to 2625 of the family's 2925-position model. Lineage: Eukaryota; Metazoa; Arthropoda; Insecta; Coleoptera; Curculionidae. The record is from RNAcentral.
GGCUUGUUGAUUAUGAUUUCAAGUCUGACCUGCCCAAUGAGUAGUUAAAUGGCCGCGGUAUUUUAACCGUGCAAAGGUAGCAUAGUCACUAGUUUUUUAAUUGAAAGCUUGAAUGAAAGGUUUGAUGAAAAAAGUUCUGUCUCUGUAAGAAUUUAUUAGAAUUUUAUUUUUAGGUUAAAAAGCUUAAAUAAAUAUAGAAGACGAGAAGACCCUAUAGAGUUUAAUAUUUUCUUGAUUGGUUAAACUUAGGGUUCAGAUGUUUGUACUGAUUAGUAAAGUAUUUAAUUGGGGUGAUUAAAAAAUUAGAAAAACUUUUUUUUAAAUUAGACAUUAAUUUAUGAAUGUUUGGUCCUAAAAAUUUAUUUAGAUUAUAAGAUUAAAUUACCUUAGGGAUAACAGCGUAAUUUUUUCUAGAGUUCUUAUCGAAGAAAAAGUUUGCGACCUCGAUGUUGGAUUAAAAUUAAUUAUCGGUGAAGAAGCUGAUAAAUUAGGUCUGUUCGACCUUUAAAAUUUUACAUGAUCUGAGUUUAAACCGGCGUGAG